RNAcentral lists this ribosomal RNA (779 nucleotides) under uncultured Verrucomicrobiales bacterium. RNAcentral describes it as "bacterial SSU rRNA". It matches the Rfam family "Bacterial small subunit ribosomal RNA", at positions 26 to 799 of the family's 1533-position model. Lineage: Bacteria; Pseudomonadati; Verrucomicrobiota; Verrucomicrobiia; Verrucomicrobiales. The record is from RNAcentral.
AAAUUGAAGGGUACCGGCGUGCNUAUGNACUGCAAGACCAACGGAAAUUGAGCAUAGCUUGCUAAGCUCAAUUUUAGUGGCGGACGGGUUAGUAACACGUGAGAUACAUACCCUUUAGACAGGAAUAGCCCAUGGAAACGUGGAUUAAUGCCUGAUAGUCUCUACGGAGUAAAUGGUGCCUUCGGGUGCCGCUAAAGGAUUGGCUCGCGGCCUAUCAGUUUGUUGGUGAGGUAAAGGCUCACCAAGACUACGACGGGUAGCUGGUCUGAGAGGACGAUCAGCAACACUGGAACUGAGACACGGUCCAGACACCUACGGGUGGCAGCAGUCGAGAAUCAUUCACAAUGGACGCAAGUCUGAUGGUGCAACGCCGCGUGGAGGAUGACGGCCCUAGGGUUGUAAACUCCUGUCAUUGGGGAGUAAGACUUAGUUGUUAAUAGCUUCUAAGUUUGAUAGUACCCAAAGAGGAAGGGACGGCUAACUUCGUGCCAGCAGCCGCGGUAAUACGAAGGUCCCAAGCGUUGUUCGGAAUAACUGGGCGUAAAGCGUGUGUAGGCUGCGCGGAAAGUCAAAUGUGAAAGCCCAGGGGCUUAACCCUGGAACUGCAUUCGAUACUCCCGUGCUAGAGUAAUGGAGAGGUAAGUGGAAUUCCCNGUGUAGCAGUGAAAUGCGUAAAUAUCGGGAGGGACAUCAAUGGCGGAAGGCACUUACUGNACAUUUACUGACGCUCAGACCCGAAGCUAGGGAAGCGAAGGGGAUAGAUACCCCUGUAGUCCUAG